AACGAACGCUGGCGGCAUGCCUAACACAUGCAAGUCGAACGAGACCUUCGGGUCUAGUGGCGCACGGGUGCGUAACGCGUGGGAACCUGCCCUUAGGUUCGGAAUAACUCCCCGAAAGGGGUGCUAAUACCGGAUAAUGUCUUCGGACCAAAGAUUUAUCGCCUUUGGAUGGGCCCGCGUUGGAUUAGCUAGUUGGUAGGGUAAAAGCCUACCAAGGCGACGAUCCAUAGCUGGUCUGAGAGGAUGAUCAGCCACACUGGGACUGAGACACGGCCCAGACUCCUACGGGAGGCAGCAGUAGUGAAUAUUGGACAAUGGGCGAAAGCCUGAUCCAGCAAUGCCGCGUGAGUGAUGAAGGCCUUAGGGUUGUAAAGCUCUUUUACCCGGGAUGAUAAUGACAGUACCGGGAGAAUAAGCUCCGGCUAACUCCGU
Molecule: ribosomal RNA, 432 nt
Filed under: uncultured bacterium
Lineage: Bacteria
Description: partial 16S ribosomal RNA
Rfam family: Bacterial small subunit ribosomal RNA
Source: RNAcentral